RNAcentral lists this ribosomal RNA (254 nucleotides) under uncultured bacterium. RNAcentral describes it as "partial 16S ribosomal RNA". It matches the Rfam family "Bacterial small subunit ribosomal RNA", at positions 524 to 776 of the family's 1533-position model. The record is from RNAcentral.
UACGUAGGGGGCAAGCGUUGUUCGGAAUGACUGGGCGUAAAGGGUGCGUAGGCGGUGUAGCAAGUUAGAAGUGAAAUACCUAGAGCUUAACUCAGGUGCUGCUUCUAAAACUGCUAUACUUGAGUGCAGUAGAGGAAAGUGGAAUUCCUAGUGUAGCGGUGGAAUGCGUAGAUAUUAGGAGGAACAUCAGUGGCGAAGGCGACUUUCUGGACUGUAACUGACGCUGAGGCGCGAAAGUGUGGGGAGCAAACAGG